AGACGUUCUCGGGGCGGGGUGAAAGUCCCCACCGGCGGUGAGUGGUCGCGAUCAGGUCGCGUCGACAAGCCCGCGAGCGCCCGGCCGCCAGGUCGGGGUCAGCAGAUCCGGUGUGAUUCCGGAGCCGACGGUCAUAGUCCGGAUGCGAGAGAACAAGA
This 158-nucleotide non-coding RNA is filed under the name Gordonia sputi. RNAcentral describes it as "FMN sequence". It matches the Rfam family "FMN riboswitch aptamer (RFN element)". Rfam says of the family: The RFN element is a highly conserved domain that is found frequently in the 5'-untranslated regions of prokaryotic mRNAs that encode for flavin mononucleotide (FMN) biosynthesis and transport proteins. Lineage: Bacteria; Bacillati; Actinomycetota; Actinomycetes; Mycobacteriales; Gordoniaceae. The record is from RNAcentral.